UGAAGAGGUUUGGAAAGACCCACCACAGAAGGUAAUAGUCCUGUAUGUUAAACGAGAAGACUUUAGAUAUGAUCCAGAGUACCACGGGACACGUGAAACCCUGUGGGAAGCAGGAGGGACCACCCUCCAAGGCUAAAUACUACCUAGUGACCGAUAGCGUAUAGUACCGUGAGGGAAAGGUGAAAAGAACCCCGGGAGGGGAGUGAAAUAGAACCUGAAACCCUGCACUUACAAGCUGUGGAAGCACAUUUCUUGUGUGACCGCGUACUUUUUGUAGAACGGGCCAACGAGUUACGUUAAGUAGCAAGGUUAAGCACUUAAGGUGCGGAGCCGUAGCGAAAGCGAGUUUUAACUGAGCGUUCAGUUACUUGACGUAGACCCGAAACCGGGCGACCUACCCAUGAGCAGGAUGAAGCGAAAGUAAAAUUUCGUGGAGGUCCGAACCCACGAGCGUUGAAAAGCUCGGGGAUGACUUGUGGGUAGCGGUGAAAUUCCAAUCGAGCCCGGAGAUAGCUGGUUCUCCCCGAAAUAGCUUUAGGGCUAGCCUCAAGGUGAGAGAUACGGAGGUAGAGCACUGAAUGUCCUAGGGGGUAUUGCACCUACCGAAGACUAUCAAACUCCGAAUGCCGUCAUCUUAUACUUGGGAGUCAGACUGUGGGUGAUAAGAUUCAUAGUCGAAAGGGCAACAGCCCAGAUCGUCAGCUAAGGUCCCUAAAUGUAAGUUAAGUGGUAAAGGAUGUGGGAUUGCACAGACAACCAGGAUGUUGGCUUAGAAGCAGCCACUCAUUCAAAGAGUGCGUAAUAGCUCACUGGUCGAGUGAUCCUGCGCCGAAGAUUUCCGGGGCUAAAACUUACUACCGAAGCUACGGCAUCAGUAAUGAUGGGUAGGGGAGCUUCCCAUACGGGUUGAAGCAUGACCGUAAGGACAUGUGGACAGUAUGGGAGUGAGAAUGUUGGCAUGAGUAGCGAGAUGUGGGUGAGAAUCCCACAGGCCGUAAACCCAAGGUUUCCAGGGGAAGGUUCGUCCGCCCUGGGUUAGUCGGGACCUAAGCUGAGGCCGAAAGGCGUAGGUGAUGGACAACAGGUUGAUAUUCCUGUACUACCGAUAACCGUUUGAGAGAAGGGAUGACACAGUAGGAUAAGCUAAGCACACUGUUGGUUAUGUGUGCCCAAGCAUUGAGGCAGUCAAAGUAGGCAAAUCCGCUUUGAUAAUGCUGGGAUGUGAUGGGGAGCGAAAUUUAGUAGCGAAGUAGCUGAUUUCACACUGUCAAGAAAAGUCUCUAUCGAGGUUAAAGGUACCCGUACCGCAAACCGACACAGGUGGGUGAGGAGAGUAUCCUAAGGCCAGCGAGAGAACUGUUGUUAAGGAACUCGGCAAAAUGACCCCGUAACUUAGGGAUAAGGGGUGCCACCAUCAGGUGGCCGCAGAGAAUAGGCCCAAGCGACUGUUUACCAAAAACAUAGGUUUCUGCUAAGUCGCAAGACGAUGUAUAGGAGCUGACGCCUGCCCGGUGCUGGAAGGUUAAGGGGAUCUGUUAGAGCAAUCGAAGCAGUGAACUUAAGCCCCAGUAAACGGCGGCCGUAACUAUAACGGUCCUAAGGUAGCGAAAUUCCUUGUCGGGUAAGUUCCGACCCGCACGAAAGGCGUAACGAUUUGGGCACUGUCUCAACAACAGACUCGGUGAAAUUGUAAUUCCGGUGAAGAUGCCGGAUACCUGCGACAGGACGGAAAGACCCCAUGGAGCUUUACUGUAGCUUGACAUUGGGUCUUGGUACUACAUGUACAGGAUAGGUGGGAGGCUUUGAAACCAGGACGCCAGUUUUGGCGGAGCCAUCCUUGGGAUACCACCCUUGUAGUACUGGGACUCUAACCAUAGGCCAUGAAUCUGGUCUUGGGACACUGUCAGGUGGGCAGUUUGACUGGGGCGGUCGCCUCCCAAAAGGUAACGGAGGCGCUCAAAGGUUCUCUCAGUACGGUCGGAAAUCGUACGUAGAGUGUAAAGGCAAAAGAGAGCUUGAUUGCAAGACAUACAGGUCGAGCAAGGAUGAAAAUCGGACUUAGUGAUCCGGUGGUUCUGCGUGGAAGGGCCAUCGCUCAACGGAUAAAAGCUACCCUGGGGAUAACAGGCUUAUCUCCCCCAAGAGUCCACAUCGACGGGGAGGUUUGGCACCUCGAUGUCGGCUCAUCACAUCCUGGGGCUGUAGUAGGUCCCAAGGGUUGGGCUGUUCGCCCAUUAAAGUGGUACGCGAGCUGGGUUCAGAACGUCGUGAGACAGUUCGGUCCCUAUCCGUCGCAGGCGUAGGAAAUUUGAGAAGACCUGUCCUUAGUACGAGAGGACCGGGAUGGACGUACCUCUGGUGUACCAGUUGUCCUGCCAAGGGCAUGGCUGGGUAGCUAUGUACGGAAUGGAUAAGCGCUGAAAGCAUCUAAGCGCGAAGCCAACUUCAAGAUAAGAUUUCCCACCGCAAGGGUAAGACCCCAGAAAGACUAUCUGGUUGAUAGGUCGAAGGUGUAAGUGCAGCAAUGUAUUUAGCUUAUCGAUACUAAUAGGUCGAGGACUUGACC
This 2566-nucleotide ribosomal RNA is filed under the name Clostridioides difficile. Its description in RNAcentral is "bacterial LSU rRNA". It matches the Rfam family "Bacterial large subunit ribosomal RNA", at positions 334 to 2925 of the family's 2925-position model. The record is from RNAcentral. Lineage: Bacteria; Bacillati; Bacillota; Clostridia; Peptostreptococcales; Peptostreptococcaceae.